This 356-nucleotide ribosomal RNA is filed under the name uncultured bacterium. RNAcentral describes it as "bacterial SSU rRNA". It matches the Rfam family "Bacterial small subunit ribosomal RNA", at positions 29 to 412 of the family's 1533-position model. The record is from RNAcentral.
AACGAACGCUGGCGGCAUGCCUAACACAUGCAAGUCGAACGAGACCUUCGGGUCUAGUGGCGCACGGGUGCGUAACGCGUGGGAACCUGCCUUUAGGUUCGGAAUAAACUCAGAGAAAUUUGAGCUAAUACCGGAUAAUGUCUUCGGACCAAAGAUUUAUCGCCUUUAGAUGGGCCCGCGUUGGAUUAGCUAGUUGGUGGGGUAAAGGCCUACCAAGGCGACGAUCCAUAGCUGGUCUGAGAGGAUGAUCAGCCACACUGGGACUGAGACACGGCCCAGACUCCUACGGGAGGCAGCAGUGGGAAUAUUGGACAAUGGGCGAAAGCCUGAUCCAGCAAUGCCGCGUGAGUGAUGAA